CCUUCGGUGUCGUAGCCAACGCGUUAAGUGUUCCGCCUGGGGAGUACGCACGCAAGUGUGAAACUCAAAGGAAUUGACGGGGGCCCGCACAAGCGGUGGAGUAUGUGGUUUAAUUCGAUGCAACGCGAAGAACCUUACCAGGGUUUGACAUCCUGCGAAUCUCUUGGAAACAGGAGAGUGCCUUCGGGAACGCAGUGACAGGUGGUGCAUGGCUGUCGUCAGCUCGUGUCGUGAGAUGUUGGGUUAAGUCCCGCAACGAGCGCAACCCACGUCUUUAGUUGCCAGCAUUUAGUUGGGCACUCUAGAGAGACUGCCGGUGAUAAACCGGAGGAAGGUGUGGAUGACGUCAAGUCAUCAUGCCCCUUACAUCCUGGGCUACACACGUACUACAAUGCUACGGACAAAGGGCUGCAAGUUCGCGAGGACAAGCAAAUCCCAUAAACCGUGGCUCAGUUCAGAUCGUAGGCUGCAACUCGCCUACGUGAAGGCGGAAUCGCUAGUAAUCGCAGGUCAGCAUACUGCGGUGAAUACGUUCCCGGGCCUU
RNAcentral lists this ribosomal RNA (544 nucleotides) under uncultured cyanobacterium. Its description in RNAcentral is "bacterial SSU rRNA". It matches the Rfam family "Bacterial small subunit ribosomal RNA", at positions 837 to 1382 of the family's 1533-position model. The record is from RNAcentral. Lineage: Bacteria; Bacillati; Cyanobacteriota.